UGCCUAUAUAACAUUUUUCGAGG
Molecule: non-coding RNA, 23 nt
Filed under: Arabidopsis thaliana (thale cress)
Lineage: Eukaryota; Viridiplantae; Streptophyta; Magnoliopsida; Brassicales; Brassicaceae
Source: RNAcentral